UCUAAUAUGGCAGAAUAAUGCCUUGGUUUUAAACACCAAAUAUAAAGAAUAUUUCUUUUUUUAGAA
RNAcentral lists this transfer RNA (66 nucleotides) under Beraea pullata. Its description in RNAcentral is "tRNA-Leu". Lineage: Eukaryota; Metazoa; Arthropoda; Insecta; Trichoptera; Beraeidae. The record is from RNAcentral.